Molecule: ribosomal RNA, 408 nt
Filed under: uncultured bacterium
Lineage: Bacteria
Description: partial 16S ribosomal RNA
Rfam family: Bacterial small subunit ribosomal RNA
Source: RNAcentral
GACGAACGCUGGCGGCGUGCUUAACACAUGCAAGUCGAAAGAAGUGGCGGACGGGUGAGUAACGCGUAAUCAACCUGCCCUUCAGAGGGGGACAACAGUUGGAAACGACAGCUAAUACCGCAUACUGAAGGAGGGGAUUGAGUCGGAUUAGUUAGUGGGAGGGGUAACGGCCCACCAAGGCGAUGAUAAGUAGCCGUGCUUGGAGGAUGAACGGCCACAUUGGGACUGAUACACGGCCCAGACUCCUACGGGAGGCAGCAGUGGGGAAUCUUCCGGAAUGGACGGAAGUCUGACGGAGCAACGCCGCGUGAGUGAUGACGGCCUUCGGGUUGUAAAGCUCUGUUAAUCGGGACGCGGUACCGGAAUAGAAAGCCACGGCUAACUACGUGCCAGCAGCCGCGGUAAUAC